UUAAGUAUUGUGUGUUUGCUGUAAAUAUGGACAGACAGCAAUAAUAUGUUGGAUUUAGGUGGGUAUUUCUUGAAGCAAAAGAUGUCCACAAAGGACCUACAUACAUUA
Molecule: small nucleolar RNA, 108 nt
Organism: Erigeron canadensis
Lineage: Eukaryota; Viridiplantae; Streptophyta; Magnoliopsida; Asterales; Asteraceae
Source: RefSeq, a predicted model, not a curated record